This 252-nucleotide ribosomal RNA is filed under the name uncultured bacterium. Its description in RNAcentral is "partial 16S ribosomal RNA". It matches the Rfam family "Bacterial small subunit ribosomal RNA", at positions 524 to 776 of the family's 1533-position model. The record is from RNAcentral.
UACGUAGGUGGCGAGCGUUGUCCGGAAUUACUGGGUGUAAAGGGAGCGUAGGCGGGAGAGCAAGUCGACUGUGAAAUCUAUGGGCUUGACCCAUAGCUGCGAUCGAAACUGUUCAUCUUGAGUGAAGUAGAGGCAGGCGGAAUUCCUAGUGUAGCGGUGAAAUGCGUAGAUAUUAGGAGGAACACCAGUGGCGAAGGCGGCCUGCUGGGCUUUUACUGACGCUGAGGCUCGAAAGUGUGGGGAGCAAACAGG